UAAGGAAUAUUGGUCAAUGGACGCAAGUCUGAACCAGCCAUGCCGCGUGGAGGAUUAAGGUCCUCUGGAUUGUAAACUUCUUUUAUCUGGGACGAAACACUUCUUUUCUAAGAGGCCUGACGGUACCAGAUGAAUAAGCCCCGGCUAACUCCGUGCCAGCAGCCGCGGUAAUACGGAGGGGGCUAGCGUUGUUCGGAAUUACUGGGCGUAAAGCGUACGUAGGCGGAUGCGCAAGUUGGGGGUGAAAUCCCGGGGCUUAACCUCGGAAUUGCCCUCAAAACUGCACGUCUUGAGACUGAGAGAGGUAGGGGGAAUUCCUAGUGUAGAGGUGAAAUUCGUAGAUAUUAGGAAGAACACCAGUGGCGAAGGCGCCUUACUGGCUCGGUACUGACGCUGAGGUACGAAAGCGUGGGGAGCAAACA
RNAcentral lists this ribosomal RNA (422 nucleotides) under uncultured bacterium. Its description in RNAcentral is "bacterial SSU rRNA". It matches the Rfam family "Bacterial small subunit ribosomal RNA", at positions 355 to 774 of the family's 1533-position model. The record is from RNAcentral.